CACGCCGUAAACGAUGAUUACUAGGUGUGGGGGGACUGACCCCUUCCGUGCCGGAGUUAACACAAUAAGUAAUCCACCUGGGGAGUACGACCGCAAGGUUGAAACUCAAAGAAAUUGACGGGGGCCCGCACAAGCAGUGGAGUAUGUGGUUUAAUUCGAAGCAACGCGAAGAACCUUACCAGGUCUUGACAUCGAGUGAAGAACAUAGAGAUAUGUUCGUCCUUCGGGACACAAAGACAGGUGG
This 244-nucleotide ribosomal RNA is filed under the name uncultured Oscillospiraceae bacterium. Its description in RNAcentral is "partial 16S ribosomal RNA". It matches the Rfam family "Bacterial small subunit ribosomal RNA", at positions 796 to 1041 of the family's 1533-position model. Lineage: Bacteria; Bacillati; Bacillota; Clostridia; Eubacteriales; Oscillospiraceae. The record is from RNAcentral.